CAAGCCUGAUGCAGCCAUGCCGCGUGUAUGAAGAAGGGUCCUUACGGGUUGUAAAGUACUUUUCAGCAGUGAGGAAGGUGGGUAUGUUAAUAGCAUAUCAUUUGACGUUAGCUGCAGAAGAAGCACCGGCUAACUCCGUGCCAGCAGCCGCGGUAAUACGGAGGGUGCGAGCGUUAAUCGGAAUUACUGGGCGUAAAGCGCAUGCAGGUGGUUUGUUAAGUCAGAUGUGAAAGCCCGGGGCUCAACCUCGGAAUUGCAUUUGAAACUGGCAAACUAGAGUACUGUAGAGGGGGUAGAAUUUCAGGUGUAGCGGUGAAAUGCGUAGAGAUCUGAAGGAAUACCGGUGGCGAAGGCGGCCCCCUGGACAGAUACUGACACUCAGAUGCGAAAGCGUGGGGAGCAAACAGGAUUAGAUACCCUGGUAG
This 425-nucleotide ribosomal RNA is filed under the name uncultured bacterium. RNAcentral describes it as "bacterial SSU rRNA". It matches the Rfam family "Bacterial small subunit ribosomal RNA", at positions 378 to 793 of the family's 1533-position model. The record is from RNAcentral.